Molecule: non-coding RNA, 980 nt
Organism: Misgurnus anguillicaudatus (oriental weatherfish)
Lineage: Eukaryota; Metazoa; Chordata; Actinopteri; Cypriniformes; Cobitidae
Source: RefSeq, a predicted model, not a curated record
UAUACAUACUGCCCCAGUGUCAUGUUUUCUCAAUAUGGCAGAUGACCUAUAUGUUUGUCAUGUCAGAAAUGUGUUUACACUCUUAAAAAUAUUGAUGCUUCACGAUGCCAGAAUAACCAUUCAUAAAAACAGUAGUGAAUAUGGUUCUUUAGAUUUAAAGACAUUUUUUUCUUAUUUGAGGAGAUAAAACGGUUCUUAUACGGCAUGGCUGUGAAUAACCCUUUAAGCACCUUUAUUUUUUAAAGUGUAGAGAACAGAAAGACCCACACCUGGCUGGGGAGCAGGGGGAAGGCAAGCGGGAGAGGAGGGCGGCUUUAAAGCUUUUACCACUGUGCAAACAGUAGACUGAUUGCUUUUAAUGGGAUCAACUAGAGGCCUGUGUGAGAGCCGGUACUGCCAUAAGCAACACUGAGAUGUCGGGUGUGGGGGCCAAGGACGACUGCUGAUAAGACUAGACAUAACCAGGGUGAGAGGGGGAAGAGAGAACAACCACAAAACAGAAUGAGGAUUGGAGGAGGUGUUUUAGAGAUUUCAGCAACCUGCCGUUACUAGGAGACAAGACCAGUUUCAUCAGUAGCUAUAUAAUGUUUGAUUCCUCAUCAUCAUGCUGUUGGGAACUUUAACACUUUAGAGAAGUUGAACGCCAGGAGCGAAAUGAAAGUGUUUUAUAGUGAUGGGGGCGCGAACGCCUAUGCCGAGUCCGAGUCAAGACAGAGUCUUUGAAGGGUCAAGACCGAGUUGAGACUGAGUCCAUUGGUUUUCAAAUACAGUCGAGUCCGAGUUAAGACCGAGUCUUUGAGGAGUCGAGACCGAUUCAUUUCAGUUUUCAUAUUCAUGAUUUAAUAUAACCCAAGUUAAUAAUCAACAGUUAGGCCUACAGACUAAGCUAGAUUGGGAAUUGUUUAGAGGAGCAGUCUUAAUGUCUUAAUAUGGGCUAUGCUUUUACUAUCAUUAAAAAAAUCCCUACUACAUGAAUCAUC